GAAAUAAGUAAUUUAACAAGAUUAAGCUUCUAACUUAAACCUUUAGCGGUUAAAAUCCGUUAUUAUUUCU
RNAcentral lists this transfer RNA (70 nucleotides) under Trox sp. TRO01. RNAcentral describes it as "tRNA-Ser". Lineage: Eukaryota; Metazoa; Arthropoda; Insecta; Coleoptera; Trogidae. The record is from RNAcentral.